UACGUAGGGGGCAAGCGUUAUCCGGAUUUACUGGGUGUAACGGGGGCGCAGACGGCGAUGCAAGCCAGGAGUGAAAGCCCGGGGCCCAACCCCGGGACUGCUCUUGGAACUGCGUGGCUGGAGUGCAGGAGGGGCAGGCGGAAUUCCUGGUGUAGCGGUGAAAUGCGUAGAUAUCAGGAGGAACACCGGUGGCGAAGGCGGCCUGCUGGACUGCAACUGACGUUGAGGCCCGAAAGCGUGGGGAGCAAACAGG
This 253-nucleotide ribosomal RNA is filed under the name uncultured bacterium. RNAcentral's name for it is "partial 16S ribosomal RNA". It matches the Rfam family "Bacterial small subunit ribosomal RNA", at positions 524 to 776 of the family's 1533-position model. The record is from RNAcentral.